GCAGUUGCUCCACCUAAAGACUCCAGUCAUAUUAGAGAUGUGAUCUGUCCAGAUGAGAUUUCCACAUGUCUGGAUGAUACAACGUGCUGUGAACUAGAUACCGGAAGUUACGGAUGCUGCCCGAUGCCAAAGGCUGUGUGUUGUUCAGAUCAUGUGCACUGCUGCCCAGAGGCCAC
This is a long non-coding RNA of Sinocyclocheilus grahami, 176 nucleotides long. RefSeq lists it as uncharacterized. The transcript is spliced from 3 exons. Lineage: Eukaryota; Metazoa; Chordata; Actinopteri; Cypriniformes; Cyprinidae. The record is from RefSeq and is a predicted model, not a curated record.